Molecule: long non-coding RNA, 3870 nt
Organism: Caretta caretta (loggerhead turtle)
Lineage: Eukaryota; Metazoa; Chordata; Testudines; Cheloniidae
Source: RefSeq, a predicted model, not a curated record
GAGCAGAAUGUGUGGGGCCACUGCUCCCAGGAGCCAGUGCCCUGCCGAUGGUAGUUCCUCCAUGCAGCUGUACUGCCCGCAACCCCGCCCCCAGCCCUGACCCCAGCCCUUCCACACAGCUGUCUGCGUCUCCUGUCUGGGAGCAUGCGCGCUGCUUGAACACAAGAGCAUGACCAGGGACAGCUGCUGGUAAGCCUGAUGCCCGCCACAGUGGGUGGGGCUGCGGGCGGUACAGCCGUGCCAGAGGAGCUGUUGGUGUGGGGCACUGGCUCCUGGGAGCGGCAGCCCCACGUUCUGAUCCUUUCACCACUGCGGUUCCCAGGAGAGCCCUGCGGUUCCGCAGAUACCGAUUUAUAUCCGCGGUUAUCCGCAUCCGCGGAUAUAAAUUUGUAUCCACACAGGGCUCUACCCACAGUUGUUACAAGUAACCCCUCUGAUUACUAUGAAUGUGAAAGAGAUUAAAGAAAGAGACAUUUUCUUCAUUUUUUUUUUCAGUUUGGUGACUUUGUGUAUCUGACAGCACUUUUGUAUAGUCCGUUUCACAGCAUGCCUGUUGAUGCUCACCCAUCCCCAGUCUAUGCAAGAGGACAUUUACGAGUAACAGGAGCAGCAAAGCUGACAGUGAAGAGGUAUCAGGCAGAAGUGUAGAUGGAGGAAGGGUGGACAUGUUUAGUGCCACCCCACAAGAUCAUUUUAGAUAUCAGGAGGGAAACAGAAAUCAUUUGCAUAUUUAUUAAGUGAUUUAAAUGAAGUAUUGGGGCAUUAUUUAAAAGGUGCUCUGCCAGAAAACUGAUUUAAAAAUAUAAAAAAUAUUCCAUUAUCAGUGUCAUAUUAAAGUAUCAAUACAAAUAUUUUAGACAUUUAGUAUAUUGCUGCGUGCAUGGUCUAUGUGAAAUAGUUGAGUAGUAUAGAGACUGAGACAAGGAAAGGUUAUAAGCACGUGUUCCACCUGAGUUCUCAAUUUCCAUUAUUUCCAAUUUGCUUGUGCCUGGAUCCCUUUUGCUGUGAGCUUUCCAAUACAUUCUAGGUUGUAGCACAAUUAGGGUGUUAACAACAGGAGAAAUUCAGAUGAUAAUCCGUUAACAUGCAUUGACUUGAGUAUGGAAAAUCACUUGAAUUUCUUCUUUCCUGUUUAUCCCUUUCUGCCUAUUAAGAGAUCCUAUGCAUGGUUCAUCAAGACUGGCAAACUCAUUGACUACAGCUGUAAUAAACACUAACAUGUUUGAGCAAGCAGGGCUCAAAUUUCCCAUUGUUAUAUUUUCUUAAAUGCUUUAAAGCCUUUUUUCACAAAGGGGGGAAAAAGCAUAAAGUCAAUUAAUUCAAGAAGUUCUGGAAAGCAAAAUCUGAUGGCAUACAGUGUGUAUCAUCAUGUAUUAUUAUUAGUCGGUAUUACAGUUCAAAGUUAUGGUUACAUUUUCAGUUGAAACACUCCCUUUAAUUUAGUUUUCAUCUUAAUUGAAUAAGAUAGAAUGCAUAUACUUUUAAAGCAGUUAUUCAGGCAAGAAAUUAUCCAGUGGUGAGACUUUCCAAAGCACCUUGCUACAGCAUAAUCCCCAAUUACUCCUGGAGCCUCAGCUGGCACUGCUGUGCAUAAUCACCAUUUUUCAUCUGUGUAAGGUAAGACUACCAUGAAUGAUUCACUCAGGUGUGGGCAGAUCUUGCUGAAGUUUUUCAUGCCUCUAUAACCAUCUGUUGCCAUACACUCUUGCUACCUUUGUCCUUCUGAUCUUGGCUGUCCUGGAUCUUUAGGUUUUUCUGAUGCACUCUCCAACCACAUACAGCUCAUUGAGAAAAGGUUAUGAUCCAGGAUCAUGCUGGUCAAUGGUGUUGAGUGAUAUCCUGAGCUAGGCUUAGGAACAGAAAAAUGUAAGAAAUGUUUUUCGUGGUCAACAGAUUAUGAGCUAGCAGCGUGGAUUAUUGGGACCCUAAUUUUCCAGAAAAUUUGCUUCAGAACAUGUUUAGUAUACUUCCAGGUAAAGGUAAUAUUAAGGACUCAGUUGUAUUCUGCAGUGAUGAUGAACCACUUUGCAUGAAAUAAUAAAUACUUUCUGUGAUACUUUCUGUGAUACCCUCUUUUUUAAAGUAGGACUUCAAAUCACUGUGAGAACUGAAAAAAUUGAAGGGCAUAAUUUGCUAGAAAUUUCUACUGCCAGCACAGCUGGCAGAGAUCUGUCAAGAGAGGUCCAGGGAAAGGUUAAGGCUGUGAGAAACUGACUGGCCAACCCCAGGAAAUGCAAAAAUCAUGCUUAAAAAUAUGUAUUUGUUGUAAAGAAUGAGACCUCCUUGCCCUAAAAAUGUAUCAUCCAGGAAACUUUUAACUGCUGUGAUUUCUUGAAUACACACAUAAUAAAGCAGUUCUUUCAAAGUUUGGUAAUCUGUAAUGUCUGAAAACUAUCCUUUUUGUGUUUUUAACAUUAAAGCUGUUAAAAUUUUAAACUUAGUAAAUGUCUUAGAUCAAAGGCUGGCUUGGCCUUUACAAGUUUUAUGUAUGAAGAGAAAGCUGCUAAAAUAAGUUCACUUUUGGUCAAUGGUAGUUUGCAGGAAUAUUAUACAGCUAUCAGAGGUCUUAUCAUAGGAGUAAUAAAUCAUGUGCUAGUUCUGGUUAGUCUACAUGUCAGAAGUCACAUUUCUGUAUAUCAAGGAUCAGACUAACUAUGUAUUUGUGUGUGUUUGUAAUUGUACAGCACCCAUUUCAGUUGUUUUUCUUGGCUCAUAGUAACUGCAAGAAAAUCAUUUAUUUUGUUUCCACCAAAAGAACAGAAUCGGCAGAAAACUCCACUUGUCACUAUCUGUGGCUCUGCUAAAGGAAACUUGUGCUCAAGUGAGCUGUGCAAAGUAAACUGCCCAGUAAGACUGACUCCUCAAGUAAGUUGCCUUCCCAGUAAGAAAUCUGCAUGUCGGUUAUAUGAGUUGAGUGCUAGCAGAUUUUUGAUGUUUACAUCUCAUGGGCUUUUGAAUGGCAUAUGACACAUCUCGCUGAAUAGGACAAAGGUGUUGGGAUGGGUUGAUUGUUUUUUGUGUUUCUAGGGGAAGUCAAAAAAGAACUAGAUAAAUUCAUGGAGGAUAGGUCCAUCAAUGGCUAUUAGCCAGGAUGGGCAGGGAUGGUGUCCCUAGCCUCUGAUUGCAAAAGCUGGGAACAGGCGGUAGGGGAUGGAUCACUUGGCAAUUACCUGUUCUGUUCAUACCCUCUAGGGCACCUGGCAUUGGCCACUGUCAGAAGAGAGGAUACUGGGCUAGAUGGACCUUUGGUCUGACCCAGUAUGGCCGUUCUAAGAUGGGCUGAAGUAAAAAUAUGCUGCUGGGAACUCACCACAAGCUUUGCAGAGGUGGUGGCAGGCUGCUCCAUAGCUCAUCUUAUUGACUUCCAUUCGGGUUUUCAUCCUUUCCUAUAUCUUCAGCACUCUAAGACAAAAGGAGUCUAGUUAAUAUUGGAUACCAAAACUAUAUCAUCCAUAACCAACCAUCGCAAGCAAGCCUCUGCAAUCAGUUGAGAGUUUUCCAGAAGGCAAAAGAAAAAGAUUCAAAACAAGCUCAUCUAGAGGCAGAGAUCAAUCAGGAAAUAGAAGACAUGAAGGGAUGACUUCUAAUUCUAACUGUUUUGCUACCUUAAACUAUCAGAAUUGCUAUCAGAUGUUAAACUUUCAGGCACAUUAUGUUACAUCUAAAAGUAGGAUACCCCUACCACUCUCGGAAGAAACUGCACUUGAAGCCAUGGGAAGUGCUGAUAAAGCCUAGAAUUAUGGUUUUUAUUAAAUCCAUGUGUUACACAUAUCCACAACCUGUUUUUUUGUUUGGUUGUUUUUUUAUUUUUUAUUUAUUUAAUUUAUUUUUUUAAAGAGGGUAUCAGAAGUAUACUUACAAUAGCAACAU